RNAcentral lists this ribosomal RNA (396 nucleotides) under uncultured bacterium. Its description in RNAcentral is "bacterial SSU rRNA". It matches the Rfam family "Bacterial small subunit ribosomal RNA", at positions 28 to 417 of the family's 1533-position model. The record is from RNAcentral.
GACGAACGCUGGCGGCGUGCUUAAUACAUGCAAGUGGAGCGACGAACCAGGGCCUGCCCUGGGGCAGAGCCGCGAACGGGUGAGUAACACGUGGGUAACCUGCCUCGAUGACCGGGACAACCCGAGGAAACUCGGGCUAAUACCGGAUGUGCUCUCCUCACAUCAGUGGGAAGAGGAAAGGAAGCUUCGGCCUCCGCAUCGGGAUGGGCCCGCGGCCCAUUAGCUAGUUGGUGGGGCAAUGGCCUACCAAGGCUUCGAUGGGUAGCUGUUCUGAGAGGAAGAUCAGCCACACUGGGACUGAGACACGGCCCAGACUCCUACGGGAGGCAGCAGUAGGGAAUCUUGCGCAAUGCGCGAAAGCGUGACGCAGCAACGCCGCGUGCGGGAAGACGGCCU